UGAAGCCCUUCGGGGUGGAUGAGUGGCGAACGGGUGAGUAACACGUGGGCAACCUGCCCUGCACUCUGGGAUAACUUCGGGAAACCGGAGCUAAUACCGGAUAACAUCCUCCUCCGCAUGGUGGGGGGUUGAAAGUUCCGGCGGUGCAGGAUGGGCCCGCGGCCUAUCAGCUUGUUGGUGGGGUAGUGGCCUACCAAGGCGACGACGGGUAGCCGGCCUGAGAGGGCGACCGGCCACACUGGGACUGAGACACGGCCCAGACUCCUACGGGAGGCAGCAGUGGGGAAUAUUGCGCAAUGGGCGAAAGCCUGACGCAGCGACGCCGCGUGAGGGAUGACGGCCUUCGGGUUGUAAACCUCUUUCAGCAGGGAAGAAGCGCAAGUGACGGUACCUGCAGAAGAAGCACCGGCUAACUACGUGCCAGCAGCCGCGGUAAUACGUAGGGUGCGAGCGUUGUCCGGAAUUAUUGGGCGUAAAGAGCUCGUAGGCGGCCUGUCGCGUCGGAUGUGAAAACUCGGGGCUUAACCCCGAGCCUGCAUUCGAUACGGGCAGGCUAGAGUUCGGCAGGGGAGACUGGAAUUCCUGGUGUAGCGGUGAAAUGCGCAGAUAUCAGGAGGAACACCGGGUGGCGAAGGCGGGUCUCUGGGCCGAUACUGACGCUGAGGAGCGAAAAGCGUGGGGAGCGAACAGGAUUAGAUACCCUGGUAGUCCACGCCGUAAACGUUGGGAACUAGGUGUGGGCGACAUUCCAACGUCGUCCGUGCC
RNAcentral lists this ribosomal RNA (765 nucleotides) under Embleya scabrispora. RNAcentral describes it as "bacterial SSU rRNA". It matches the Rfam family "Bacterial small subunit ribosomal RNA", at positions 71 to 847 of the family's 1533-position model. Lineage: Bacteria; Bacillati; Actinomycetota; Actinomycetes; Kitasatosporales; Streptomycetaceae. The record is from RNAcentral.